This is a non-coding RNA of Homo sapiens (human), 857 nucleotides long. NCBI's taxonomy places the organism in Eukaryota, Metazoa, Chordata, Mammalia, Primates, Hominidae. The record is from RefSeq and is a predicted model, not a curated record.
GUGUCUCUCCUGAGCCCUGUCGCCCCUGCCACACCUGACCCACUGUGUCUGGCCACCUUGGGGCCCUUCCCAUCCUGGAGGUGGGGGCCCUGCUCCCUUUUCCUCUGGAAGGAGGCUGAUAGUUCCCUGGGCCUGGAAGGUACUCGCCUCCCCCACCUGCUCAGCUGCAGCCCCGACUCCCUUUUCUGGGAUACCAGAACGGCUCCCCAACACUGGGUCUAAACCACCUGGGUCCACACCACCCUAGAGGGGAGCCCUUGGCUGUGGUCUGCCCCACUUGGGUUCUCCACACCUAAGCCAGUGGAAAUUUGGGAGCAGGUCAUGAGGGAAGAUAAAUUGAAGCCGAGCCAAGCUGAAUUGGAGGCAUCUGAGACAAGAACGUGCGGACGCCCAGUGGACGAUCCAGGCAGGCUGGGGUGUUGGGGACGGAGCCGUGGAUACACCCAUACUCAACAGGCAGAGGGAAUAGAUAUUCGACGGGGGACCGGGGUGUCAACAGAUGUAUCCGAGUUCAUGCGUGGCAGGGAGCUGGCGGCGGGACCCGUCCCUCCAGCUGGCUCUCCAACCCCAAGCCUGCAUUACGACCACGGCAAAAUGCCAGAAGCCCAGAGAAGCGGGGUUUCUGAAGCGGAUCGUUUGUUCAGCCCGAGUGCGUGGGGCAGGAACACACCUGGAGGUCAUUAAAGAGAAGUCUUCACGGGGCACUCAAGGCACACUGCAAAACAACUUUUUAUUUAAAAGGCCAAUAAUGAGAAUAAUGAGUUGCACAAGAAUGAAAACCUUAUCCCUUCCAAAAGAUCGGCCUAUACAUUAUGUAUAAAGUUAGAAUAAUUCUAAAUACAAAAUGCCAAAGACCA